GACAGAGAUUGACUUUUGGUGGCUACUCUAUACAUACAUUACCGUAAAGCCAAAAAUACUCACUGAAACGCGGCUUUAUUUUUGAAAAUGUUGAAAGGGUUGAUUUUGCGGGCUAGGCAACUGAGGAAGCUCAACAUCAAAAAAAGUUGAUACAAGCUUCUUUCAUCAAAGUAGGAGAUAAGGUU
This is a long non-coding RNA of Solanum tuberosum (potato), 185 nucleotides long. RefSeq lists it as uncharacterized. The record is from RefSeq and is a predicted model, not a curated record. The transcript has 2 exons. NCBI's taxonomy places the organism in Eukaryota, Viridiplantae, Streptophyta, Magnoliopsida, Solanales, Solanaceae.